AUGUCAGCUUUGAAGGAACAGCUGGGUGCAAUGGAUGAUGAGAACAAAGAACUGAAGCAAAAGGUUGACCAGUUUAAGAGCAUUCAUGUUGCCCAAUGUAAUGUGAUUAGGAAUCUGAAGUUUGCUCAUUUGAAGGAGAAGGAAAAGUUGAGCACGGAGAGGAGGAAUUUGGAGUUUCACAUUGCUGAUCUUGUCAAAGCUAGUGACAAGAACAAGAGAAAGCUGAAGGACAUCAAGGAUAUUUGUGAUGAAGAGUGA
This 258-nucleotide ribosomal RNA is filed under the name Triticum aestivum (bread wheat). RNAcentral's name for it is "partial small subunit ribosomal RNA". The record is from RNAcentral. Lineage: Eukaryota; Viridiplantae; Streptophyta; Magnoliopsida; Poales; Poaceae.